CGGAAGAGCAUUCGAAGCGGGAAGAUUUGGACUUAGUCUUCUUCAUUUCAUCAUCCUGAUGGUGUAUGUUCAGCCCGCUCUCUCUAUCGGGAGUAGUCAAUGUUUUUCGACGUUGUUGUUAUUGUUUUACGUCCUCGCACAGCGUGGAUUUCGAGUCAGCCUGUAACGCUGAUUGGUCGGAAUCGGUACUUUGUAAAUACCUGUCGAUUAGUGCCGAGCGUGUGGAUACAGUACAUACCAGAUCUAUUGCUGCACCGUAAAUACCGAGUUUACCUGGCCGGCAAGGGUACAGACAAACAAGGAUUCGCACAACCGUCCGGACAUACGGCUCACAUAUGUGAUAUUGUGAUUCUUUCCCAGGUGCUGUUUUUUUAAAAACAAUGUGAUGAUAUACUGUCCUGCCUAGUACGAUGUAGCUCUUAGACGCCAUAAGCCUUAUUUGACAAUGUACACUCGAGAUAAUGCCAUUUCCCUGGAAAAUGGAAAAUUGCAUUCACAUAACAUAACUUUGUGCGAAAGAAUGAAGUUCAUUGCUGUGUACUGGGGAAGUUUAAAAGGAUAAUUGUUGUUCGCUAUGCUGACAGUUUUAUCUUAAUUAAACAAUGGAAACGGUGAAGUUGAUUGCUGCCGAGCUCUGAGUGUCCCCAUGGCUGCCGCCAUCAACAGUGACACCCCAAACGGAAAAUUGUAAUACAAUUCGCUGACAAUUCCAAUGGCGGUUGCGAAACAGGAAGUUCAACCCCGAAUCCUCGCUCGACAUGACUGACACGAAUGGGGUGCCUACAUCAGGCGCCGAGGAUCUCGACCGGCAACAAGAGGUGAUGAAAUCAAAAUUUCUACAUCUAUUGAUUAUUAUCGACUAAUUUAUUAUUUCCGCCUCAAUUUGUGCACCUUGUUAACAUACAUCCAUCACGCAACCACGCCGAAAAUAAAGUAACGGGGAUGAACGUAACGUGAGUGUGAGGCUCCAGGACGUGUGCCAGGGUGGGUAUGGUCAACCGACGUCGGCGCCCGGGUCGUGGUGGCGCUUACAUAAAUCACUGACGACGACAUGAGUUCACUAUGCCGCCCGAUAUUGACAUUGAAAAAGCCCCCUCGCUCGCAAGGACCCACUUGGCGAUACCAGGGAAUAUUAUGAUGGCUGGCACUGUUAUUCCAUUCCCACGAAUUUAUUAUGAAAUUAUGGGCUAAGCUUGCGGCGAACUUGCCAUGAAAAGACAGGAAAUGGAAACUACGGAGAAAGUAACUAAUUAAAUACAACAAAACAAAAAAAGAUUGAAAUAAUACGAAAAUGAAACAAUGUCGUCGUGGACUGAGGGGUCGCAAGCCCCUUCAACCAAUGCUACAAUAUUGUGUAAACUCGAAGUAUAAAAAUUAAGAAAAAAUAUCUGAAGCUCUUUAAGGAUUUCUCCCUCCGAAACGAACGAACCCGUCGGGAAUCCUUUGUCAAACAUCUUCAUUCCUGCUGUAUUCCUUCC
Long non-coding RNA from Hermetia illucens (black soldier fly), 1478 nucleotides. RefSeq lists it as uncharacterized. The transcript has 3 exons. NCBI's taxonomy places the organism in Eukaryota, Metazoa, Arthropoda, Insecta, Diptera, Stratiomyidae. The record is from RefSeq and is a predicted model, not a curated record.